UGAGGCCUCUUUAGUUGAUUCUGUGGG
This 27-nucleotide non-coding RNA is filed under the name Rattus norvegicus (Norway rat). The record is from RNAcentral. Lineage: Eukaryota; Metazoa; Chordata; Mammalia; Rodentia; Muridae.